CUCAAAGAGGGGGACCUUCGGGCCUCUCGCGUCAGGAUAUGCCCAGGUGGGAUUAGCUAGUUGGUGAGGUAAGGGCUCACCAAGGCGACGAUCCCUAGCUGGUCUGAGAGGAUGAUCAGCCACACUGGAACUGAGACACGGUCCAGACUCCUACGGGAGGCAGCAGUGGGGAAUAUUGCACAAUGGGCGCAAGCCUGAUGCAGCCAUGCCGCGUGUAUGAAGAAGGCCUUCGGGUUGUAAAGUACUUUCAGCAGUGAGGAAGGGGUGUACGUUAAUAGCGUGCAUCUUUGACGUUAGCUGCAGAAGAAGCACCGGCUAACUCCGUGCCAGCAGCCGCGGUAAUACGGAGGGUGCGAGCGUUAAUCGGAAUUACUGGGCGUAAAGCGCAUGCAGGUGGUUUGUUAAGUCAGAUGUGAAAGCCCGGGGCUCAACCUCGGAAUUGCAUUUGAAACUGGCAGACUAGAGUACUGUAGAGGGGGGUAGAAUUUCAGGUGUAGCGGUGAAAUGCGUAGAGAUCUGAAGGAAUACCGGUGGCGAAGGCGGCCCCCUGGACAGAUACU
Molecule: ribosomal RNA, 560 nt
Filed under: Vibrio neptunius
Lineage: Bacteria; Pseudomonadati; Pseudomonadota; Gammaproteobacteria; Vibrionales; Vibrionaceae
Description: bacterial SSU rRNA
Rfam family: Bacterial small subunit ribosomal RNA
Source: RNAcentral